ACUUAGAUCUGGAGUUUGGUGGUUUUGUACGGCAGCGUGCGAUUUAUUGUAGUAAAGCAAAAACAAAUUUUGUUAAGUUUUUUCCUUAGUGUUCAAACUUAAAAUUUCUUAACUAUGUAGAAAACCAGGCAAUUCUUCUCAUUGUAAGAAACUUUUUAUGAAGACCCAAGUGACUGCCUGCGUUACGAAGUGACUGCCUACGUUUUGACCAAUAAAUUAACGUUAAGCACCAGUGACUGUCUUGCGAACACAGUGCGUAAGGGCCUCAAGCUUGCUGAUCUUUUCUAGGAGGUAAAUAACUACAGUGAUUCCCUAAUAACCACUACUAAGGACAAUGGAGUUUCAGCUGAACUUUGUAGCCUUGUGAUGAAACAUAAGCCAGCAAGCUUCCCAGGAAAGCUGCAAUUAUGGUUUUCAAUGGAUAAAAAGAAUUUAUGUAGUUAUGAAAAUUUGCCAUUGAAAAUUUAAUUUCUUUGACAAACUUAAUUAGGAUGAUUUACAGAAAUUAAAAAGUGUCUUGAAAAUGUUUCUUUGUCAACUUAGGAUAAUUUACAGAAAUUAAGUGCCUUGAAAAUGUAGUUUCUUUGACAACCUUAGGAUAAUUUACAGAAAUUAAAAGUGCCUUACUUUUACCAAUUAUUUAAUCUAAUAACCUCCAGGGUUAAGGGUAUAUGAAGUAUCUAUAGUAGGAUUAAUUUUGAAGGACUAGUUUGUCCAAUUUUGAUCAGUUAUUUUUUUACUCUUUUGAAAGUUAAUUAAAAUUCUUCGAUUAAUCAUUUAAUAUGAAA
Long non-coding RNA from Macrobrachium nipponense, 788 nucleotides. RefSeq lists it as uncharacterized. NCBI's taxonomy places the organism in Eukaryota, Metazoa, Arthropoda, Malacostraca, Decapoda, Palaemonidae. The record is from RefSeq and is a predicted model, not a curated record. The transcript has 3 exons.